GAUGAAGAACGCAGCGAAAUGCGAUAAGUAAUGUGAAUUGCAGAAUUCAGUGAAUCAUCGAAUCUUUGAACGCACAUUGCGCCCGCCAGUAUUCUGGCGGGCAUGCCUGUUCGAGCGUCAUUUCAACCAUCAAGCCCCAGGCUUGUGUUGGAGCCCUGCGGCUGCCGCAGCCUCCCAAAACCAGUGGCGGGCUCGCUAUCACACCGAGUGCAGUAGUUUACUCUUCGCUCAGGGCGUGUGGCGGGUGCUAGCCGUGAAACCCCCAACUUCUCAAGGUUGACCUCGGAUCAGGUAUGAAUACCCGCUGAACUUAAGCAUAUCAAUAAGCGGAGGA
Molecule: unclassified non-coding RNA, 334 nt
Filed under: soil metagenome
Description: partial contains 5.8S ribosomal RNA, internal transcribed spacer 2, and large subunit ribosomal RNA
Rfam family: 5.8S ribosomal RNA (bases 1-120)
Source: RNAcentral